This 253-nucleotide ribosomal RNA is filed under the name uncultured bacterium. RNAcentral describes it as "partial 16S ribosomal RNA". It matches the Rfam family "Bacterial small subunit ribosomal RNA", at positions 524 to 776 of the family's 1533-position model. The record is from RNAcentral.
UACGUAGGGUGCAGGCGUUAAUCGGAAUUACUGGGUGUAAAGCGUGCGCAGGCGGUCUGCUAAGAGAGAUGUGAAAUCCCCGGGCUUAACCUGGGAACUGCGUUUCUAACUGGCAGGCUUGAGUGUGGCAGAGGGGGGUGGAAUUCCACGUGUAGCAGUGAAAUGCGUAGAGAUGUGGAGGAACACCGAUGGCGAAGGCAGCCCCCUGGGCUAACACUGACGCUCAUGCACGAAAGCGUGGGGAGCAAACAGG